GAUAGGUUCCUUUAAUUACCGAUUAGUUCCUACCGCGGUGCUCUUCAUUGAGUGUCGAGGUCGGCCGACAAGUUUACUUUGAACAAAUUAGAGUGCUUAAAGCAGGCAAAAGUCUGCCUUGAAUAGUGGUGCAUGGAAUAAUAGAAUAGGACCUUGGUUCUAUUUUGCUGGUUUUCUGAAUCCAAGGUAAUGAUCAAUAUGGACAGGCGGGGGCAUUCGUAUUGCGACGUUAGAGGUGAAAUUCUUGGAUCGUCGCAAGACGAACUAGAGCGAAAGCAUUUGCCAAGUAUGUCUUAAUUGAUCAAGAACGAAAGUUAGAGGUUCGAAGGCGAUCAGAUACCGCCCUAGUUCUAACCAUAAACGAUGCCAGCUAGCGAUCCGCCGAUGUUUUUCUCAUGACUCGACGGGCAGCUCCCCGGGAAACCAAAGCUUUUGGGUUCCGGGGGAAGUAUGGUUGCAAAGCUGAAACUUAAAGGAAUUGACGGAAGGGCACCACCAGGAGUGGAGCUUGCGGUUUAAUUUGACUCAACACGGGAAACUUUAUCAGGCCCAGACAUUGGAAGGAUUGACAGAUUGAUAGCUCUUUCUUGAUUCAAUGGGUAGUGGUGCAUGGCCGUCCUUAGUUGGUGGAACGAUUUGUCUGGUUAAUUCCGAUAACGAACGAGACUCUAGCAUACUAACUAGACGCUUGGUAUUUUUGCUACCAGCGGUUUCAUUCUUCUUAGAGGGACAGGCGGCUUUUAGCCGCACGAGAUUGAGCAAUAACAGGUCAGGGAUGCCCUGAGAUGUUCUGGGCCGCACGCGUGCUACACUGAAGGAAUCAGCGUGUGUCUCCCUAUCCGAAAGGACCGGGUAACCCGCUGAACCUCCUUCGUGCUAGGAAUUGGGGCUUGCAAUUAUUCCCCAUAAACGAGGAAUUCCCAGUAAACGUGAGUCAUAAGCUCGCGU
This 948-nucleotide ribosomal RNA is filed under the name Corixidea sp. UCR ENT 00011937. RNAcentral's name for it is "SSU rRNA". It matches the Rfam family "Eukaryotic small subunit ribosomal RNA", at positions 679 to 1641 of the family's 1831-position model. Lineage: Eukaryota; Metazoa; Arthropoda; Insecta; Hemiptera; Schizopteridae. The record is from RNAcentral.